RNAcentral lists this ribosomal RNA (466 nucleotides) under uncultured bacterium. RNAcentral's name for it is "partial 16S ribosomal RNA". It matches the Rfam family "Bacterial small subunit ribosomal RNA", at positions 28 to 507 of the family's 1533-position model. The record is from RNAcentral.
GACGAACGCUGGCGGUGUGCUUAACACAUGCAAGUCGAACGGUAAGGCCCUUUCGGGGGUCCACGAGUGGCGCACGGGUGAGUAACACGUGAGUAACCUGCCCUCAUCUCUGGGAUAACAGUCGGAAACGGUUGCUAAUACUGGAUAUGAGCUUGCAAGGCAUCUUGUGGGUUGGAAAGAUUUUUUUGGUUGGGGAUGGACUCGCGGCCUAUCAGCUUGUUGGUGAGGUAGUGGCUCACCAAGGCUUCGACGGGUAGCCGGCCUGAGAGGGCGACCGGCCACAUUGGGACUGAGAUACGGCCCAAACUCCUACGGGAGGCAGCGGUGGGGAAUAUUGCACAAUGGACGGAAGUCUGAUGCAGCAACGCCGCGGGCGGGAUGACGGCCUUCGGGUUGUAAACCGCUUUCAAUUGUGACGAAGCUUUUUGUGACGGUAGCAGUAGAAGAAGCACCGGCUAACUACGUG